AUUGAACGCUGGCGGCAUGCUUUACACAUGCAAGUCGAACGGUAACAGGCCGCCAGGUGCUGACGAGUGGCGAACGGGUGAGUAAUGCAUCGGAACGUGCCCAGUCGUGGGGGAUAACUACUCGAAAGAGUAGCUAAUACCGCAUACGAUCUAUGGAUGAAAGCGGGGGACCGUAAGGCCUCGCGCGAUUGGAGCGGCCGAUGUCAGAUUAGGUAGUUGGUGGGGUAAAGGCUCACCAAGCCAACGAUCUGUAGCUGGUCUGAGAGGACGACCAGCCACACUGGGACUGAGACACGGCCCAGACUCCUACGGGAGGCAGCAGUGGGGAAUUUUGGACAAUGGGCGCAAGCCUGAUCCAGCAAUGCCGCGUGCAGGAAGAAGGCCUUCGGGUUGUAAACUGCUUUUGUACGGAACGAAACGGCUCUGGUUAAUACCCGGGGCUAAUGACGGCACCGUAAGAAUAAGCACCGGCUAACUACGUG
Molecule: ribosomal RNA, 482 nt
Filed under: uncultured bacterium
Lineage: Bacteria
Description: partial 16S ribosomal RNA
Rfam family: Bacterial small subunit ribosomal RNA
Source: RNAcentral